Molecule: non-coding RNA, 72 nt
Organism: Phrynosoma platyrhinos (Desert horned lizard)
Lineage: Eukaryota; Metazoa; Chordata; Lepidosauria; Squamata; Phrynosomatidae
Source: the annotation of a GenBank genome assembly
GUCGGUGUAGCAAAGUGGUUUGAGCACUGGACUACAACUCUGGAGACCAGGGUUGGAAACUCUGCUCAGCCA